RNAcentral lists this ribosomal RNA (502 nucleotides) under uncultured bacterium. RNAcentral describes it as "partial 16S ribosomal RNA". It matches the Rfam family "Bacterial small subunit ribosomal RNA", at positions 30 to 523 of the family's 1533-position model. The record is from RNAcentral.
AUUGAACGCUGGCGGCAGGCUUAACACAUGCAAGUCGAGCGGGGUGAUGGUGCUUGCACUAUCACUUAGCGGCGGACGGGUGAGUAAUGCUUGGGAAUCUGCCUAUUAGUGGGGACAACAUCUCGAAAGGGAUGCUAAUACCGCAUACGUCCUACGGGAGAAAGCAGGGGAUCACUUGUGACCUUGCGCUAAUAGAUGAGCCUAAGUCGGAUUAGCUAGUUGGUGGGGUAAAGGCCUACCAAGGCGACGAUCUGUAGCGGGUCUGAGAGGAUGAUCCGCCACACUGGGACUGAGACACGGCCCAGACUCCUACGGGAGGCAGCAGUGGGGAAUAUUGGACAAUGGGGGGAACCCUGAUCCAGCCAUGCCGCGUGUGUGAAGAAGGCCUUAUGGUUGUAAAGCACUUUAAGCGAGGAGGAGGCUCUUUUGGUUAAUACCCAAGAUGAGUGGACGUUACUCGCAGAAUAAGCACCGGCUAACUCUGUGCCAGCCGCCGCAGUAA